RNAcentral lists this ribosomal RNA (491 nucleotides) under uncultured bacterium. RNAcentral describes it as "partial 16S ribosomal RNA". It matches the Rfam family "Bacterial small subunit ribosomal RNA", at positions 29 to 507 of the family's 1533-position model. The record is from RNAcentral.
GUGAACGCUGGCGGUAGGCCUAACACAUGCCAGUCGAACGGCAGCACCGUAAGAGCUUGCUCUUACGGGUGGCGAGUGGCGGACGGGUGAGGAAUACAUCGGAAUCUACUUUUUCGUGGGGGAUAACGUAGGGAAACUUACGCUAAUACCGCAUACGACCUACGGGUGAAGGCAGGGGAUCUUCGGACCUUGCGCGAUUGAAUGAGCCGAUGUCGGAUUAGCUAGUUGGCGGGGUAAAGGCCCACCAAGGCGACGAUCCGUAGCUGGUCUGAGAGGAUGAUCAGCCACACUGGAACUGAGACACGGUCCAGACUCCUACGGGAGGCAGCAGUGGGGAAUAUUGGACAAUGGGCGCAAGCCUGAUCCAGCCAUACCGCGUGGGUGAAGAAGGCCUUCGGGUUGUAAAGCCCUUUUGUUGGGAAAGAAAAGCAGCAGGUUAAUACCCCGCUGUUCUGACGGUACCCAAAGAAUAAGCACCGGCUAACUUCGUG